Bactrocera oleae (olive fruit fly) is the source of this 932-nucleotide long non-coding RNA. RefSeq lists it as uncharacterized. The record is from RefSeq and is a predicted model, not a curated record. Lineage: Eukaryota; Metazoa; Arthropoda; Insecta; Diptera; Tephritidae.
GGAGAAAAGUUAAGGUGAGUUCGGGAUUCAGUAACAUAUUGUUAUUUUCUUAAAAUUUAUGAAAAAUUUGUUCUAAAAAUAUUGGUUAUAUGUAAAACUUUAACAUUUCUUCAAAAUAUAAACAGUUUAUUUUAAUAUAAUAUAUAUUCUUAAAGAAACGGGCUUUAUUGGCAAAUUCCAGACUAAUUAAGAUUUAUAUUUAUGAGUAUUUUUAACUGUGGUAUAUUGGUAAGGUGCAAAUAAGCAACCAUGUCAAAAAAUGGAAUCCAGAAAAAGCUUAUUCAAGAAAACUGGCGACAAGUUUUAUAAAUUUGCAAAAUUGAACCAUGGUAAAAAGAUUGAAUUUUAUCAGCGCAACGAAAAUUUUAACAAGUUAAACGAUAAUUUCUGUGAUGGUGAGGACGGUGAUGAGCUGAGAACAUCAUCUUGCUCGAAUUUGCUUCCGUUGUAAAAAUUUAUUCAUCAUUUGUGCAAGGACCAUCUUCCUGAAAUAAAUAAUGAAAAUGCAUGCAACAUGCGUUUACAAAAACAGAUGGAAGUUAUUAAAAUGGACUUAAAGGUAACACAGGAUGACGAUGAAAAUUAAUAUUUAAAUGGCUUCGAAAGAGUUGAAAGGUAUUCCAUAAAAAUUUAUUCCAAACUACCAAGAUGUCAGCGAUAAUUUGAAGAUAUGCAAAACAUCCACCAUUGUGGGAUAAAAGAAAGAGAAUAUAUUUAAAAAAUAUAGUCUCGAACGUGGGCAUGCCAAUUCCUAUUUAAACAUCAAGCUGAGGUCAUUUGUAUGCAAAUUUAUGAAGUCAAAGGUCGGGAAUAUACACUCACUUGGCUCGCAAACUGAUAAUUUAAAUAUAUUGAUAUAAGUACUUUGUUAUGCCCAAACCAAAUUAGCUUGUAACUAAAUAAAAACAUGAAUUUUUCUGUACCAAACAAUA